UACGUAGGGGGCUAGCGUUGUCCGGAUUUAUUGGGCGUAAAGAGCGUGUAGGCGGCUUUCUAAGUCAGGGGUGAAAUCCUGGAGCUCAACUCCAGAACUGCCUUUGAUACUGGAGAGCUCGAGUCCGGAAGAGGUGAGUGGAACUGCGAGUGUAGAGGUGAAAUUCGUAGAUAUUCGCAAGAACACCAGUGGCGAAGGCGGCUCACUGGCCCGGUACUGACGCUGAGGUGCGAAAGCGUGGGGAGCAAACAGG
This 253-nucleotide ribosomal RNA is filed under the name uncultured bacterium. RNAcentral's name for it is "partial 16S ribosomal RNA". It matches the Rfam family "Bacterial small subunit ribosomal RNA", at positions 524 to 776 of the family's 1533-position model. The record is from RNAcentral.